Molecule: ribosomal RNA, 253 nt
Filed under: uncultured bacterium
Lineage: Bacteria
Description: partial 16S ribosomal RNA
Rfam family: Bacterial small subunit ribosomal RNA
Source: RNAcentral
UACGUAGGUGGCAAGCGUUGUCCGGAUUUACUGGGCGUAAAGAGCGCGCAGGCGGUCGUUCAAGUCGCGUGUGAAAGCCCCCGGCUCAACUGGGGAGGGUCACGCGAUACUGAUCGACUGGAAGGCAGGAGAGGGUAGUGGAAUUCCCGGUGUAGUGGUGAAAUGCGUAGAUAUCGGGAGGAACACCAUUGGCGAAGGCGACUACCUGGCCUGUUCUUGACGCUGAGGCGCGAAAGCUAGGGGAGCGAACGGG